GACGAACGCUUUCUUCGCGCCUAACACAUGCAAGUCGAACGGAACUGAGAGAAGCUUGCGUUUCUUAGCUUAGUGGCGCACGGGUGAGUAACGCGUGAGUAACCUGCCCUGGAGUGGGGGACAACAGUUGGAAACGACUGCUAAUACCGCAUAAGCCCACGAUCCGGCAUCGGAUUGAGGGAAAAGGAUUUAUUGGCUUCAGGAUGGACUCGCGUCCAAUUAGCUAGUUGGUGAGGUAACGGCCCACCAAGGCGACGAUUGGUAGCCGGACUGAGAGGUUGAACGGCCGCAUUGGGACUGAGACACGGCCCAGACUCCUACGGGAGGCAGCAGUGGUGGAUAUUGCACAAUGGGGGAAACCCUGAUGCAGCGACGCCGCGUGGAGGAAGAAGGUUUUCGGAUUGUAAACUCCUGUCGGUAGGGACGAUAAGGACGGGACCUAACAAGAAAGCACCGGCUAACUACGU
RNAcentral lists this ribosomal RNA (467 nucleotides) under uncultured bacterium. RNAcentral describes it as "partial 16S ribosomal RNA". It matches the Rfam family "Bacterial small subunit ribosomal RNA", at positions 28 to 506 of the family's 1533-position model. The record is from RNAcentral.